UUGUUUUCUCAAAAAGACAUGAAUAAUGUCCAAUUAACAGUGAUUGGAAUCUAGUUUGAAUGUAGCUAGACAUUUUUUAAUUUAUAUGUUUAUAUAUGUUAUAUGUUUUAUGUUCAUUUAAACAUAUUAGCCUAGAGUGAGUUGCUGUAGGUUUACUUUUUUCUUCAUGUGGAGCAUGACAAUUAUUACACUUUAAUUUUUUUUAAAUUGCUUUUCAAUCCAGUGGUGAUCCAAAAACUUUAACCUCACACAGUGUAAGAUAUUCUUCCCGUCCUGGAAUAACAACAUUAAUGUAACGUCCUUCCAUCCCAUCACAUUCAAAGGUGGCGGAAAGACCAGCAGGAAUGGAAGAGAUCACAGCACACC
Labeo rohita (rohu) is the source of this 366-nucleotide long non-coding RNA. RefSeq lists it as uncharacterized. NCBI's taxonomy places the organism in Eukaryota, Metazoa, Chordata, Actinopteri, Cypriniformes, Cyprinidae. The transcript has 2 exons. The record is from RefSeq and is a predicted model, not a curated record.